ACGGGUGAGUAACACGUGGGUGAUCUGCCCUGCACUUCGGGAUAAGCUUGGGAAACUGGGUCUAAUACCGGAUAGGACCAUCGUUUAGUGUCGGUGGUGGAAAGUUUUUUUCGGUGUGGGAUGAGCUCGCGGCCUAUCAGCUUGUUGGUUGGGUAAUGGCCUACCAAGGCGUCGACGGGUAGCCGGCCUGAUAUGGUGUACGGCCACAUUGGGACUGAGAUACGGCCCAG
RNAcentral lists this ribosomal RNA (230 nucleotides) under uncultured Actinomycetales bacterium. Its description in RNAcentral is "partial 16S ribosomal RNA". It matches the Rfam family "Bacterial small subunit ribosomal RNA", at positions 102 to 334 of the family's 1533-position model. The record is from RNAcentral. Lineage: Bacteria; Bacillati; Actinomycetota; Actinomycetes; Actinomycetales.